RNAcentral lists this microRNA precursor (92 nucleotides) under Canis lupus familiaris (dog). RNAcentral's name for it is "mir-8799 microRNA precursor family". It matches the Rfam family "mir-8799 microRNA precursor family". Lineage: Eukaryota; Metazoa; Chordata; Mammalia; Carnivora; Canidae. The record is from Rfam by way of RNAcentral. RNAcentral also lists the same sequence under 1 other name.
GGGGGGGGGCCGGAUUAUGGGCUGUGUCCGGCGCCCAGUGCUCCCGGUGCCUGCGCUGUUGGAUUCGCACUCCUGGAGCCGCGCAGCCCCUU